ACACUUAGUACGUGAGGAUUUGAGUACCGGAUCGACGUACAAAUUACCCCUAGAAGUAGGGUUUUCGAAUAGGUCUAAUGUAGUAUCAACUCACAAAGUUAUCAGGUUUAUAUACAGCUUUAUCAACUAAUAAAGAUGUUGUUGCAUGACUAAUGUCAUAUCAUGGCUUGACCACGGUAUCCAGUAAAAAUUAUUUUGCUGAGUAUCGUAGUAAAAGUUAGGAUAUAAUGUUAAGACUUUUUUUGAGUCGUGCAGCAAUAUUAACAGCAAACUAAUACAAAU
RNAcentral lists this unclassified non-coding RNA (282 nucleotides) under uncultured Rickettsia sp. Lineage: Bacteria; Pseudomonadati; Pseudomonadota; Alphaproteobacteria; Rickettsiales; Rickettsiaceae. The record is from RNAcentral.